GGCGGACGUAGCCAAGCGGAUCAAGGCAGU
This 30-nucleotide transfer RNA is filed under the name Psilotum nudum. RNAcentral describes it as "partial tRNA-His". Lineage: Eukaryota; Viridiplantae; Streptophyta; Polypodiopsida; Psilotales; Psilotaceae. The record is from RNAcentral. RNAcentral also lists the same sequence under 3 other names.